This 73-nucleotide transfer RNA is filed under the name Oreochromis niloticus (Nile tilapia). RNAcentral's name for it is "tRNA-Arg (TCT) (tRNA-Arg-TCT-7-1)". It matches the Rfam family "tRNA". Rfam says of the family: Transfer RNA (tRNA) molecules are approximately 80 nucleotides in length. Their secondary structure includes four short double-helical elements and three loops (D, anti-codon, and T loops). The record is from RNAcentral. Lineage: Eukaryota; Metazoa; Chordata; Actinopteri; Cichliformes; Cichlidae.
GGCUCUGUAGCGCAAUGGAUAACGCGUUGGACUUCUAAUUCAAAGGUUGUGGGUUCGAGUCCCACCAGAGUUG